This is a long non-coding RNA of Perognathus longimembris pacificus (Pacific pocket mouse), 580 nucleotides long. RefSeq lists it as uncharacterized. The transcript has 2 exons. The record is from RefSeq and is a predicted model, not a curated record. NCBI's taxonomy places the organism in Eukaryota, Metazoa, Chordata, Mammalia, Rodentia, Heteromyidae.
UCCCACUCCUUUUGCAGGCUUUCAACACCUUCAUUGAUGAUGUCUUCGCCUUCAUCAUCACCAUGCCCACGUCUCACCGGCUGGCCUGCUUCAGGGACGAUGUGGUGUUUCUGGUCUACCUGUACCAGCGGUGGCUUUAUCCUGUGGAUAAGAGCAGAGUGAACGAGUUCGGGGAGUCGUACGAGGAGCGGCCCCGGCGGAAGUCCCACGCGGACUGAAGGCUGUCCUGGGCUGCUGGGUGGGCGGUGAGUCCCUGGAAGCGCCACCUCUUCACGUUGCCAAACCUCUCAGCAUCCCCCGAGCUCCCUCCCCCGGAGCACACGCCUGAGCACCGCGAGGGGCGGCGCUCCUGCUCUGGCCCGCGCGCCCCGCCCACCUCCACGGCGGAGCCCCGGGGAGAGGCCGGGUUUCCAUUUCAAGUUGUUUUUUAAGUGCUUCUUAGUGAAUUUCAAAUGCAUAUGGAAAUCAAUUCCAUAUGAACUCUGGGAUCAAAUGGCUCUUUCCCUCUUGUUUGAAAUUUGAUUGUUUUCAGCUUAAUGUAUGUAUGUUUCUAUUUUAAAAUAAAUUUCUCUGGCUGUGA